RNAcentral lists this long non-coding RNA (431 nucleotides) under Physcomitrium patens. RNAcentral describes it as "long non-coding RNA (PPAT_LNC013334)". Lineage: Eukaryota; Viridiplantae; Streptophyta; Bryopsida; Funariales; Funariaceae. The record is from RNAcentral.
CGGCUUCUCAAUCUUCACAGCCGAGAUAACAGUGGCCACCUGGGUAUCCGUCAACUCGUUGUAAAUGACCUCAAAUUCCUUGGUGACUUCCUUGAUGAGGUCGAUCCGCUUCUUAUCGACCAAGAGGUUGAGGAAGUUGAGGGUGACGUCGCUAAACUUAGCAUCCUCAGCUACAGUCUUGAGAAUGCUCUUCUUCUUGUCACCAUCAAUCACAGGCGACACCAAAAAGUCAUACAGAGUCUCGUUAGUCAUCAGCUCGCCCAACGCCUCCAUGUCCUUGUUAAUCGUAUCCAAGGUGUUGGUAGCCUGCGACAGGUCCGCCAAAGCCUCAGCGUACCCACCAGCGGCAGUCUCCGUCUUUGCCACCACGACGGCCCGGCUGGGGCUAGAGGAAGAAGACGCCGACAAGGUCUUGGACACCGAAGCGACCA